AUUGAACGCUGGCGGCAGGCCUAACACAUGCAAGUCGAGCGGAGCGGCGGCGGGGUGAGUCAUGCCUAGGAAUCUGCCUGGUCGUGGGGGGUAACGUCCGGAAACGGGCCCAAAUACCGCAUACUAUCAGAUUAGACUAGGUCGGAUUAGCUGGUUGGUGGGGUAAAGGCCUACCACGGCGACGACGCGUAACUGGUCUGAGAGGAUGAUCCGUCACACGGGAACGGAGACGAGGUCCAGCAUCCUAAGUGAGGCAGCAGGGGGGAUUAUUGGACAAGGGGCAAAGGCUUGUUCCAGCCAUGCCGCGUGUGUGAAGAGGGUCUUCGGAUUGUACAGCACUUUGAGUUGGGAGGCGUUACCAACAGAAGAAGCACCGGCUAACUACGUGCCAGCAGCCGCGGUAAUUC
RNAcentral lists this ribosomal RNA (407 nucleotides) under uncultured bacterium. RNAcentral's name for it is "partial 16S ribosomal RNA". It matches the Rfam family "Bacterial small subunit ribosomal RNA", at positions 30 to 526 of the family's 1533-position model. The record is from RNAcentral.